Molecule: ribosomal RNA, 320 nt
Filed under: uncultured bacterium
Lineage: Bacteria
Description: partial 16S ribosomal RNA
Rfam family: Bacterial small subunit ribosomal RNA
Source: RNAcentral
GAUGAACGCUGGCGGCGUGCCUAACACAUGCAAGUCGAGCGAAGCGAUUUAACGGAAGUUUUCGGAUGGAAGUUAAAUUGACUGAGCGGGCGACGGGUGAGUACGCGUGUAGGACUGCUCAUACGAGGGGAUAACAGUUAGAAAUGACUGCUAAUACCGCAUAAGCGCACAGUGCUGCAUGGCACAGUGCGAAAAACUCCGGUGGUAUGAGAUGGACCCGCGUCUGAUUAGCUAGUUGGUGGGGUAACGGCCUACCAAGGCGACGAUCAGUAGCCGGCCUGAGAGGGUGAACGGCCACAUUGGGACUGAGACACGGCCAA